RNAcentral lists this ribosomal RNA (253 nucleotides) under uncultured bacterium. RNAcentral describes it as "partial 16S ribosomal RNA". It matches the Rfam family "Bacterial small subunit ribosomal RNA", at positions 524 to 776 of the family's 1533-position model. The record is from RNAcentral.
UACAGGGGGGGCAAGCGUUGUUCGGAAUUACUGGGCGUAAAGGGCUCGUAGGUGGCCAACUAAGUCAGACGUGAAAUCCCUCAGCUUAACUGGGGAACUGCGUCUGAUACUGGAUGGCUUGAGUUCGGUAGGGGAGACUGGAAUUCCUGGUGUAGCGGUGAAAUGCGCAGAUAUCAGGAGGAACACCGGUGGCGAAGGCGGGUCUCUGGGCCGAUACUGACGCUGAGGAGCGAAAGCGUGGGGAGCGAACAGG